GAGUUGGAGUGUGUGCCUGUUGAACCCACACUUCUCUCCCUUCUCCCCCAGUUCCUCUUCUCACGUUCUCAUUCUGCUCUCAGUCAAACUCCCUCACUUCUCUCUCAUUUGUUUCUCCCUCUGUCCCUUAUCCUUCUCUUCUCUCUCUUGGCUCGCUUCUCCCCGAGCAACACAUCCACCACGUUUCGAACACCAAAUCACCACCAUCCUCGUCCCAACCUCACACCAAACACAAAACAAGAACCCAUAGUCCCAAACCCUAGACUCGAACCGCAAAUCGGAGAACCAGAACUUCGUCUUAAAUCCUAGAGAGUUCCGGCGAGUUCAUCAUUUUCCCUACUAAGGUUUCUUGAGAUUUUCCAACCAAAUCUCGUCGUCUUGGACGAGAUUGUCACCACAAACGCACUCUUCAUAGUCCCAGGGACCAGAUUCGAGCUUUACAUGCUCAAAUAUGUCAGGGAUUCAUAGGGACCUAAAUUGGCCUUUUAGGCCAAUUUCCUGCCAUCCUUUGGCCUCGAUUUUGGUAAAAUCAAACUCCUGCUAAUCCCAGCUUCAUUUUGACAUAAUGUGUGUUACAAACGGUUGAGAUUUAAUGCUGAUCUGCUUCUGUUUCGAAUCCAAAUAGGUAUUGAUUUUAAUUUUUGUUUUCGUUUGUGUGUAAUUUGAGAUGGAAUGUGGAAGUGGUUUGAAAUUCUGGUGUAAUUUGAGAUGCUUGUGGAAUGUGGGCUAUUUUGAUUUUAUGAAAAAAAAUUAUUUUUUUGUUUA
Molecule: non-coding RNA, 765 nt
Organism: Malus domestica (apple)
Lineage: Eukaryota; Viridiplantae; Streptophyta; Magnoliopsida; Rosales; Rosaceae
Source: RefSeq, a predicted model, not a curated record